RNAcentral lists this transfer RNA (74 nucleotides) under Parcubacteria group bacterium SW_4_46_8. RNAcentral's name for it is "tRNA-Lys". It matches the Rfam family "tRNA". Rfam says of the family: Transfer RNA (tRNA) molecules are approximately 80 nucleotides in length. Their secondary structure includes four short double-helical elements and three loops (D, anti-codon, and T loops). Further hydrogen bonds mediate the characteristic L-shaped molecular structure. tRNAs have two regions of fundamental functional importance: the anti-codon, which is responsible for specific mRNA codon recognition, and the 3' end, to which the tRNAs corresponding amino acid is attached (by aminoacyl-tRNA synthetases). tRNAs cope with the degeneracy of the genetic code in two manners: having more than one tRNA (with a specific anti-codon) for a particular amino acid; and 'wobble' base-pairing, i.e. permitting non-standard base-pairing at the 3rd anti-codon position. The record is from RNAcentral.
GCCCCCAUAGCUUAAUGGUAAAGCAGCAGACUUUUAAUCUGUUGAUUCAGGCUCGAUUCCUGAUGGGGGCACAA